CUAGCUUGCUAGAAGAUGACGAGUGGCGGACGGGUGAGUAAUACUUAGGAAUAUGCCUUUGUGUGGGGGAUAACUAUUGGAAACGAUAGCUAAUACCGCAUAAUGUCUUCGGACCAAAGGGGGCUUCGGCUCCCGCGCAAAGAGUAGCCUAAGCGAGAUUAGCUUGUUGGUGAGGUAAAAGCUCACCAAGGCGACGAUCUCUAGCUGUUCUGAGAGGAAGAUCAGCCACACUGGAACUGAGACACGGUCCAGACUCCUACGGGAGGCAGCAGUGGGGAAUAUUGCACAAUGGGGGAAACCCUGAUGCAGCCAUGCCGCGUGUGUGAAGAAGGCCUUCGGGUUGUAAAGCACUUUCAGUUGUGAGGAAAGGUUAACGGUUAAUACCCGUUAGCUGUGACGUUAGCAACAGAAGAAGGACCGGCUAACUCCGUGCCAGCAGCCGCGGUAAUACGGAGGGUCCGAGCGUUAAUCGGAAUUACUGGGCGUAAAGCGCACGCAGGCGGUUUGUUAAGCUAGAUGUGAAAGCCCUGGGCUCAACCUGGGAAUUGCAUUUAGAACUGGCAGGCUAGAGUUUUGGAGAGGGGAGUGGAAUUCCAGGUGUAGCGGUGAAAUGCGUAGAUAUCUGGAGGAACAUCAGUGGCGAAGGCGACUCCCUGGUCAGUAACUGACGCUCAUGUGCGAAAGUGUGGGUAGCGAACAGGAUUAGAUACCCUGGUAGUCCACACCGUA
This 729-nucleotide ribosomal RNA is filed under the name Glaciecola sp. DFC4.58. RNAcentral's name for it is "bacterial SSU rRNA". It matches the Rfam family "Bacterial small subunit ribosomal RNA", at positions 75 to 804 of the family's 1533-position model. The record is from RNAcentral. Lineage: Bacteria; Pseudomonadati; Pseudomonadota; Gammaproteobacteria; Alteromonadales; Alteromonadaceae.